UACGUAGGGUGCGAGCGUUAAUCGGAAUUACUGGGCGUAAAGCGUGCGCAGGCGGUUUGUUAAGACAGAUGUGAAAUCCCCGGGCUUAACCUGGGAACUGCAUUUGUGACUGGCAAGCUAGAGUAUGGCAGAGGGGGGGUAGAAUUCCACGUGUAGCAGUGAAAUGCGUAGAGAUGUGGAGGAAUACCGAUGGCGAAGGCAGCCCCCUGGGUCAAUACUGA
RNAcentral lists this ribosomal RNA (221 nucleotides) under uncultured bacterium. Its description in RNAcentral is "partial 16S ribosomal RNA". It matches the Rfam family "Bacterial small subunit ribosomal RNA", at positions 524 to 743 of the family's 1533-position model. The record is from RNAcentral.